This 428-nucleotide ribosomal RNA is filed under the name uncultured bacterium. RNAcentral's name for it is "bacterial SSU rRNA". It matches the Rfam family "Bacterial small subunit ribosomal RNA", at positions 355 to 775 of the family's 1533-position model. The record is from RNAcentral.
CGAGGAAUUCUGCGCAAUGGCCGCAAGGCUGACGCAGCAACGCCGCGUGGGUGAUGAAGGCCUUCGGGUCGUAAAGCCCUGUCAGGUGGGAAGAAAGGCCUGGAGAGGAAAGGUUUCAGGUUUGACGGUACCACCAGAGGAAGCACCGGCUAACUCCGUGCCAGCAGCCGCGGUAAUACGGAGGGUGCGAGCGUUAUUCGGAAUUACUGGGCGUAAAGCGCGUGUAGGCGGGGGGACAAGUCUGAUGUGAAAGCCCUGGGCUUAACCUGGGAAGCGCAUUGGAAACUGUUUUUCUCGAGUACUGGAGAGGAAGGGGGAAUUCCCGGUGUAGAGGUGAAAUUCGUAGAGAUCGGGAGGAAUACCAGUGGCGUAGGCGCCCUUCUGGACGGUAACUGACGCUGAGACGCGAAAGCGUGGGGAGCAAACAG